Molecule: long non-coding RNA, 113 nt
Organism: Chelonia mydas (Green sea turtle)
Lineage: Eukaryota; Metazoa; Chordata; Testudines; Cheloniidae
Exons: 2
Source: RefSeq, a predicted model, not a curated record
AUACCCUCCCAAGGUGGGCUCCCAGGCCAUGAAGCCGGAGAAGGCAUCUCUGCUCCAAAUGUUUCAAUGCUUCCAUAUCAUCUCCGUCCCAGAGGCUAGCGCAGAUAAGAAGG